This 449-nucleotide ribosomal RNA is filed under the name uncultured bacterium. RNAcentral's name for it is "bacterial SSU rRNA". It matches the Rfam family "Bacterial small subunit ribosomal RNA", at positions 329 to 792 of the family's 1533-position model. The record is from RNAcentral.
UGCCAGACUCCUACGGGAGGCAGCAGUGGGGAAUAUUGGGCAAUGGGCGCAAGCCUGACCCAGCAACGCCGCGUGAAGGAAGAAGGCUUUCGGGUUGUAAACUUCUUUUAAGAGGGACGAAACAAAUGACGGUACCUCUUGAAUAAGCUCCGGCUAACUACGUGCCAGCAGCCGCGGUAAUACGUAGGGAGCGAGCGUUAUCCGGAUUCACUGGGUGUAAAGGGAGCGUAGACGGCCAUGCAAGCCAGGGGUGAAAGCCCGGGGCCCAACCCCGGGACUGCCCUUGGAACUGCAUGGCUGGAGUGCGGGAGGGGCAGGCGGAAUUCCUGGUGUAGCGGUGAAAUGCGUAGAUAUCAGGAGGAACACCGGCGGCGAAGGCGGCCUGCUGGACUGCAACUGACGUUGAGGCCCGAAAGCGUGGGGAGCAAACAGGAUUAGAUACCCCGGUA